GAAAAUGCAGAAGCCUAACAGGAGCCAC
Molecule: non-coding RNA, 28 nt
Filed under: Mus musculus (house mouse)
Lineage: Eukaryota; Metazoa; Chordata; Mammalia; Rodentia; Muridae
Source: RNAcentral